UGCCCUACGGGACGCAGCAGUGGGGAAUAUUGCACAAUGGGGGAAACCCUGAUGCAGCGACGCCGCGUGAGUGAGGAAGUAUUUCGGUAUGUAAAGCUCUAUCAGCAGGGAAGAAAAUGACGGUACCUGACUAAGAAGCCCCGGCUAACUACGUGCCAGCAGCCGCGGUAAUACGUAGGGGGCAAGCGUUAUCCGGAUUUACUGGGUGUAAAGGGAGCGUAGACGGCUAGUCAAGUCAGAAGUGAAAGCCCAGGGCUCAACCUUGGGACUGCUUUUGAAACUGAGUAGC
This 289-nucleotide ribosomal RNA is filed under the name uncultured bacterium. Its description in RNAcentral is "partial 16S ribosomal RNA". It matches the Rfam family "Bacterial small subunit ribosomal RNA", at positions 335 to 641 of the family's 1533-position model. The record is from RNAcentral.